Molecule: non-coding RNA, 225 nt
Filed under: Enterococcus aquimarinus
Lineage: Bacteria; Bacillati; Bacillota; Bacilli; Lactobacillales; Enterococcaceae
Description: T-box sequence
Rfam family: T-box leader
About the family: Uncharged tRNA acts as the effector for transcription antitermination of genes in the T-box leader family. T-boxes are found upstream of many aminoacyl-tRNA synthetase genes and some amino acid biosynthetic genes usually in Gram-positive bacteria.
Source: RNAcentral
UAAAAAACGAUGAAGAGAAGAGUAGCCAAGAUAGCUGCUUCAGAGAGCCCGGCUGGUGGAAAAGGGUACAGUGACGGUUGGUGAAGAUGAACUCAGAGUAUUAGUGAGGUAAAAGCUUCACUAACGGUCGCAACCGAUAGCUUGCCAACAUUGAUCGAUGUUUUUGAGGCGCCAUAAUUAUUGGCGUAAAGAUGGGUGGUAACACGGUGAAUAAUCGUCCCUAAU